UGGUGGAGUGAUUUGUCUGCUUAAUUGCGAUAACGAACGAGACCUUAACCUGCUAAAUAGCCCGCGUCGCUCCGGCGGCGCGCCGGCUUCUUAGAGGGACUAUCGGCUCAAGCCGAUGGAAGUUUGAGGCAAUAACA
This 137-nucleotide ribosomal RNA is filed under the name uncultured eukaryote. Its description in RNAcentral is "partial 18S ribosomal RNA". It matches the Rfam family "Eukaryotic small subunit ribosomal RNA", at positions 1299 to 1458 of the family's 1831-position model. The record is from RNAcentral.